This 529-nucleotide ribosomal RNA is filed under the name uncultured bacterium. RNAcentral describes it as "bacterial SSU rRNA". It matches the Rfam family "Bacterial small subunit ribosomal RNA", at positions 777 to 1304 of the family's 1533-position model. The record is from RNAcentral.
AAUAGAUACCCCGGUAGUCCACGCCGUAAACGAUGAGUGCUAAGUGUUAGAGGGUUUCCGCCCUUUAGUGCUGCAGCAAACGCAUUAAGCACUCCGCCUGGGGAGUACGGUCGCAAGACUGAAACUCAAAGGAAUUGACGGGGGCCCGCACAAGCGGUGGAGCAUGUGGUUUAAUUCGAAGCAACGCGAAGAACCUUACCAGGUCUUGACAUCCUUCGCUACUUCUAGAGAUAGAAGGUUCCCCUUCGGGGGACGGAGUGACAGGUGGUGCAUGGUUGUCGUCAGCUCGUGUCGUGAGAUGUUGGGUUAAGUCCCGCAACGAGCGCAACCCUUGACCUUAGUUGCCAGCAUUUAGUUGGGCACUCUAAGGUGACUGCCGGUGACAAACCGGAGGAAGGUGGGGAUGACGUCAAAUCAUCAUGCCCCUUAUGACCUGGGCUACACACGUGCUACAAUGGAUGGUACAAAGGGCUGCAAGACUGCGAAGUCAAGCCAAUCCCAUAAAGCCAUUCUCAGUUCGGAUUGCAGG